AUCCCAAGGUUUGGGCACUUCCUCAAUAACUCCUUGAACCUCUCCCAGGCUUCACAAAAGGAUUCAUCUUCCAGCUGUUGAAAAAACAUGAUUUCAUUGUGAAACU
Humulus lupulus (European hop) is the source of this 106-nucleotide small nucleolar RNA. Lineage: Eukaryota; Viridiplantae; Streptophyta; Magnoliopsida; Rosales; Cannabaceae. The record is from RefSeq and is a predicted model, not a curated record.